Molecule: ribosomal RNA, 464 nt
Filed under: uncultured bacterium
Lineage: Bacteria
Description: partial 16S ribosomal RNA
Rfam family: Bacterial small subunit ribosomal RNA
Source: RNAcentral
GACGAACGCUGGCGGCGUGCUUAACACAUGCAAGUCGAACGGUAAGGCCCCAGCUUGCUGGGGUACACGAGUGGCGAACGGGUGAGUAACACGUGGGUGACCUGCCCCGCACUUCGGGAUAAGCCUGGGAAACUGGGCCUAAUACCGGAUACGACCGCACCGAGAGGGUGUGGCGGAAAGUCUUUCGGUGUGGGAUGGGCCCGCGGCCUAUCAGCUUGUUGGUGGGGUAAUGGCCUACCAAGGCGGCGACGGGUAGCCGGCCUGAGAGGGUGGACGGCCACAUUGGGACUGAGACACGGCCCAGACUCCUACGGGAGGCAGCGGUGGGGAAUAUUGCACAGUGGGCGGAAGCCUGAUGCAGCGACGCCGCGUGGGGGAUGACGGCCUUCGGGUUGUGAACUCCUUUCACCAUCGACGAAGGUUUUCUGACGGUAGAUGGAGAAGAAGCACCGGCUAACUACGUG